AAGAAACAAGGCAGAAGAUCGAAAUUCUGAGCGAGUGGCAGAGGAAGGAUAGGGAGGAAGGAGGGCAGGAGAUGGAGAGGUAGGGGAAGGAGAGGGGGAGCUGAGCGCUGAUUGUGGCUCCAUUUGUGUGGAUGCUAAUAAGGAUUUAAAGCGUAUGAAGGCCAAUUUUGAAGAGUUUUGUGACGAUGAUAAGAUUUUGGUGUUCUUCAAAAGGUUUUUGAACAAGUGGAUACAGGUGUUGGAUGAGAUGCCUGAGGCAGAGAAGCGGACGGCCAAAGGGAAGUCAAUGUUUGCUACCUUUAGACAGUGCGCAGUGUAUUUGAAUCCAUUCUUCAAGUUUUGCAGGAAGAAGUUGAGCACUUUGGCUUUAAUUUAUCGCCUAUGUUGCUUUGAAUAUUGUUACUAUUUCAAUUCAAUAAGAGUUUGUCAAUUAAUGUCGAUAUGGAGCUCCUUCUUUUGCAUUUUUUUCUUUUGGCAAUAAAAUGAGCCAAGCAUGUUGCACGGCAGUAUAAAUCAGUACAAUUUGCGACUAUAAGUUACAAAUUUCCUCAGAAACUUGCAUACUAGGAAAUGGGGGACAUGGCAAUUUUCCUGCCACUGGUGCAACAUUGAGCAGGUAACUAAUCCUUUUUGUCAUAAGUAGUUUGUAAGGAUAUCAUAUAAUGAGUUAGUAAUCCACAUUUUGCUGUGAAUUAGAGCCAUAUAGCUUAUUAUUGGAUCCAAGAGUGUCUUUACUUUUGUUCAUAUUUCCCUAAUCUGCUAGUAGUGUUCUACCAUGCCUACCUCUAUCUUAUUAUUCAUAGCAGUUGUAUUAGCGAAAUAUUGCAUCAGGUACUUCUGUUUUAUCUGUUUUUUUAUUUCUAUCACAAGGGGGUGAUUAUGAAAUGAGUUCUAGGUGAAUGGCCAAUUGGUGUCACUAUGGUUGGUAACUUGGCAUUCAUGAACGUUCAGCUUAUGAGAAGAUUUACACCAACAGUGUUGCCUACCUUAUGAAUGAUGAGACUACCCCCAGAGACUUACAGUCGUCGAAAUUGAUGACCUCUUGCUAACAGCGCUAUCCAACGGUGCCAUCUAAAGCAGUAGAGUUCAACAGCUUGGCAAAUGGCAGUGAUGUAAAGUCUUUACCAGUAGACGAGUGGUUCUCCGGUGGUAAUCAGCCUUCGGGAGGAAGGCUUCAGCUAAUGCCUGAUGUCAAAUGUAUAAUAAUUUUCCUGUACCAUUCUUAAUGCCAUCAGUUGUUUAUGCAAUGCAGUGAUAAAUUCACACUGUUGGAUUCUUAAGUCAUUUUUGGUUUGUUUACUGAAGCAUUGGUUGAAGUGAUCAUCGAGAAUUAGAGAAUUCCAUCGGAAUACAUACGCUCACGCGCGAUUUCUACAUUUUAGCAUGGUCUCUAUAGGGCAGCAAUUUUCAUAUAAUUUACUUAGCAGCUUUAUUUUUGAGGUACUUUCCUCUUCCCCCAUUGUAAUGCAAAAUUUCUGGAGUGGCUUAUUUGAUGGCCCCCUGGUUUUCACGCUACCAAAUUGUGCGUGGAAAUGGUUUUCGUUUUUCAUGAUAUGCAGUGCAUGAUGGGCUGAUGUAUCUUUCAAAGUGUUUAGAAAUGGUUACUAUAGCUGGUUUUCCAAAUCUUCACCCUUUGGGUUGGCAGGCAGUCCUUAGCUACUGCGCUUUUCUAAGCCAUGGAGUGGUGCUUGUAAGGAAUAUGCUCAAACAGGCCUUUUAUUUGUUGGACUGCGAUUUUCUUUUCCUUUUUUAAUCAAGCCAACGUUAGCCACCUAGAAUAUAGAGGGAUAAGAUUUACAAAAACGUAGAAGAAUUAGUCCUUGGCUCCUUGCCUCCUUGGUGGGACCAAAGUAUCAAAGCCAGAAAACUUAUUGGUCCAAGCAAUAUCUACUUAUCCAGAUAACGAAUUCGAAACACCACACACAUCUGAAAAGCGAAAAUCAUCUACCCCUUCCUUCUCACUUAGCCAAAUUGAUAAAACAGAAAUACCCACAAUCUUUCCUCCUCCAAAUUUGCAUAAUCAUGGCAAACCAAGCAGGUCUCUUCACCCCCGCCAUCACCGCCCCAAAAUCCAGUAAGUCCCCUCUGGUUCCAUGGAAACCUACCUCUUCCUUUUCAUUCACCAUCCCCAACUCUCUCACUUUUUCCGCCGCCCAAAGAUCUCUCAAAGUUGCCGCUGCUGAAGAGAAAACUGAAGCUCCCACAAAAGAGGCUCCAGUGGGUUUCACCCCACCAGAAUUGGACCCAAAUACACCCUCACCAAUCUUCGGUGGCAGCACUGGAGGGUUGUUGCGCAAGGCUCAAGUUGAAGAAUUUUAUGUUAUCACAUGGGAUUCACCUAAAGAACAAAUCUUUGAGAUGCCAACUGGAGGUGCAGCUAUUAUGAGGCAAGGGCCUAACUUGCUCAAGUUGGCCAGGAAGGAGCAGUGUUUGGCUCUUGGUACCAGAUUGCGAUCCAAGUACAAGAUUAAGUACCAGUUUUAUAGGGUAUUUCCUAAUGGAGAGGUUCAGUAUCUUCACCCCAAAGAUGGAGUUUAUCCUGAGAAAGUGAACCCAGGACGCCAAGGAGUUGGGCUGAACUUCAGAUCCAUUGGAAAGAACGUUAGUCCCAUUGAGGUCAAGUUCACUGGCAAGCAAGUUUAUGAUAUAUGAAGCAGCUAGCUAUGUAUUUAUGGAUCCCUCCGUUGCUGGAUCAUUGAUGUACUUUUAUUGUUCAAAGCAAUGCUUGAAAUCUGAAUUUUUUUUUCCUAAUCCUAAAUUUAAUCUCAACCUUUGCGUUAUUAAUCCAGAUCCAGUUUGCAGAAAUUUUAUUGCUUUUAUGGUCCAGAAAUUUAGUUAAAUCACUCAUGAAUUACAUUAUGUUGCGCUGGAAACAAAUCAUUAAGAAAUUCAUUUUUGAAAAUUAAAGAUCAAGUGUCUUUCAAUUGCAAAUUAAAUGAAAGAAAUGGAGGACUGACAAUCUUUUAAUUCACCCAGCUCAAAAAGAAUAAUCCCAAAUAAUUUAAUUUUAAAUUAAUAAAAUUACUUCGCAAUAAAUUUAAAAAAUAUUGAAAAUUUUAGAUUUUCACAUGUUACUCGUCCAAAAUUUAGUAAUUUAAAAUAAAAUAAAUAUAAAAAUUCAAAAAUAAAA
This 3130-nucleotide unclassified non-coding RNA is filed under the name Hevea brasiliensis (rubber tree). Lineage: Eukaryota; Viridiplantae; Streptophyta; Magnoliopsida; Malpighiales; Euphorbiaceae. The record is from RNAcentral.